Molecule: ribosomal RNA, 468 nt
Filed under: uncultured bacterium
Lineage: Bacteria
Description: partial 16S ribosomal RNA
Rfam family: Bacterial small subunit ribosomal RNA
Source: RNAcentral
GACGAACGCUGGCGGCGUGCUUAACACAUGCAAGUCGAACGGAAAGGCCCUGCUUGUGUGGGGUGCUCGAGUGGCGAACGGGUGAGUAACACGGGAGUAACCUGCCCUUGACUGUGGGAUAACUUCAGGAAACUGGGGCUAAUACCGGAUAGGAGCGCCUGCUGCAUGGUGGGGGUUGGAAAGUUUCGGCGGUUGGGGAUGGAUUCGCGGCUUAUCAGCUUGUGGGGGGGGUAGUGGCUUACCAAGGCUUUGACGGGUAGCCGGCCUGAGAGGGUGAACGGCCACAUUGCGCCUACGAUACGGACCAGACUCCUACGGGAGGCAGCAGUGGAGAAUAUUGCACAAUGGGCGGACGCCUGAUGCAGCAACGCCGCGUGCGGGAUGAAGGCCUUCGGGUUGUAAACCGCUUUCGCCUGUGACGAAGCGUGAGUGACGGUAAUGGGUAAAGAAGCACCGGCUAACUACGUG